This is a non-coding RNA of Vigna umbellata (rice bean), 2163 nucleotides long. Lineage: Eukaryota; Viridiplantae; Streptophyta; Magnoliopsida; Fabales; Fabaceae. The record is from RefSeq and is a predicted model, not a curated record.
AAUUGGGGGAUAUUUACAAUAUGGAACUGUAAAACAAUAUGGAUACAACAACUAUUAGUCUAAAGAAUGGGAUGGAUAUGGUGCAUGAUACUAAAAACAGUGUACAGAGUGUAUAUAAAACUGCUGUAACAGCAAAAGUUUUAGAAAUCUGAAAAUGAUACUUCAACACACUCAAAACAGCAAAGAACUAUCUAAAUCAGAAAAGGAAAACUCAAAACAGAAAAGAAACAUGUUAGUGAAUUCAAAUCAGCAAAGAUAAACAAAAUCAGGUUUGUUUAGUUAAAACUAGUUAGUAAACAAAAUCUCAAAACAACAAAUGAAACUAAUAAAAACAACUACUACUAAUCUCAAAACAGUAAAGCAUUAUAGGUUAACCUACAAAAGCAGCAAAAAAAGAAAAGAAUUGGUUCAAAACAGCAAAGAAAGUUCAAAAAAGAGAAUAAAACUCAAAAUGGCAGUACUGCACCUUUCCUAAUCUCUAGAAACAGCAAAUGACUCAAUAUGACUCAAAACAAAGCAAUCAAAGAUGAAAUCAGCAAAAAGAAGUUCAAAGCAGCAAUAUAUGUAUAAAGCAGCAAAGGAGAACUAAGCAAAAAAAUGAAAACUGCCUACUACGCUUCAUUCUUGCUAGUCAAGGGUCAAUUCUGAUUUCUUGUGUGUAAGUGCUCACUUUGUACUCCUUAAAACUCAAUCUUUAAUCCAAAAAUUGAGUCUAGAUAAAAUGCGAGAAUGAGAACCAAGUGUUCAUUAAUUGAACUUGAAUUUCUGAUAAAGAAGGAAUAAAUUAACUAACGUAAUGCAUGAGUUUGAAACUAGAAUCAAUAGAGAAGCAGCAAAAGAAGAACAGGAAUCAUAAGAUGAAAUAGAAAGCAUCUCAGGAAAGUAAAAUCAAACGAAAAACAGAAUUGCAUUAGUGGAACCUGAAACAGCCCUUGAGAAUAUCACUUGGAAUGUACAGAACCAGAGAAAAAGGUUUUUGAGAAACUAACCUAAGCUACUACUACAACAACGCUACUAAGGAAGCACUAUUUACACAGGUUUCUAAUGACCAGUCAAGCCUUUAUAUAGGCUGAAGCAAAGAGCUAAAACUGGAAAACAAAUGAACAAAACAGGUUUCUAACUCUAGUCCUAGGAAACCUAAACAGCAGGUCAACUUUUCCAGCUUCUUCUAAAUUGGACUGGCUAAGGCAGGUCAACAUGUUGUGCAGCAAAUGUCUAGUCAACUUCCAACUGGCUGUCAUAGGUUGCUUCAACGUCACUGCCAGUCUUGGACAAGGUUCAGCUUCUCUGUCCAGCUGUCUCUUCAUCUCAAAGCGACAGGUGUGGGUUUCUUUGUCUUUUCCAGCUCUAAAACCUUGAGUAACCUCUCACAGCAGGUGCAACUGCUUGUCUUUCACAGCUUGCAACCAGCCUCUGCCUUCCACUCAUUGAUUGACUUCUCAUUUAUUUCCUCAACUGGUCACUAGUCUGCCUUUACUUGUCUUCCUUUUCCUUCACAGCACCUAAAACAAGGAGUUCUCUCAAGUUAAAUGUACUAAGGUAAAAAUCAAUUUAAGCACCAAAACUUAAUCUGGAAAAUUAUGCUGCACAUGAAAACAGAAAAGUAAAGCUAGAGACUUCAACUAUUCUACUUAGGAAAUUACUAUGAAAAACUAAACUAGAAAAGCUACUUAAAAACACAAAAUUAGAACAUUUUCCUAAAAUCUCUAUUUUUUAUAAGAAAACUGAAAAUGGAUUAAAACCAAAAAAUGAAAAACAUGACAAAUUAGGGACUUAACAUUUCUUCUUUUCAUUUUCAGGAUGAUACUGUCAAUGUAUGCUUCUGUGACAAAUAUUGUGCCUGACCUGGGUGAACAGUCCAAAAUCUCAGGCUAUAUUGUGGAUAAGCAUAAAGACGCAGUUGAGAAGUUUGAAUAUGAUACCUCUAAGAUGACUGCUUUUGAUAUAUGUAAUGGUGUUUGGAAAAUAAUUAGUGAGUGAUGCAUGUCAACCACAUAGGUUGAUACUUGCAACGAUGUAUUAUUUUCUCUAUUUUGAGUGGAAUCUUAGCAGUCCUACAAUUCACUCAUUGGUGUAAGAGUUCUGUCUUAAUUUAUUAUGAAUUUGCCAUGUUGAUAUUAACUACUCAGAGAAAGGUAAUAUAACUUGUAAUACUCAUUUUCA